RNAcentral lists this long non-coding RNA (732 nucleotides) under Ursus maritimus (polar bear). RNAcentral's name for it is "lncRNA (ENSUMAG00000023427.1)". The record is from RNAcentral. Lineage: Eukaryota; Metazoa; Chordata; Mammalia; Carnivora; Ursidae.
UGGGAAUUGAAAGUGGAGCUGAGUAGAAACUGAAACACCAGCCUGGCAGACACGGGGUCAGAUAAGAACCAGGGAGCAGAAACAAAAAGAAGGCACUCUAUACAAGUGGCCCAAAAUGGCCUUUGUGUAGACCCGUCACUGCUGGGAAUUGAGGGAGGAACCUGCUCAGGCUGUUGUCAGGAAUUCCAGAACAUUCUAUCAAGUGGCUUCUGGCCUUGUUUGCUUUUUUAGCUUUCUACAUCCGCAGGUAUCCGGCUCCAGGCUAGCGUGGGCCGGGGUCUCAGUGACGGUGCCUAUGCAGAGGAGAAGAAAUCUGGUUAUAAGACGGGAAGCAGUUUGAUGGAGUUUAUUGGAUGAAGCAGCUGCCAUCGGAGCAGUCACGCCACCUGAGUGACGCUAAUGAGACAGCUCCCCGCAUUGGACACAAAGUCUGAUAGCAGGAGAGAGAACCCUGGCUUGUGUCCAAAUUAACUUGUGGGCUUGCUCAUUGAUAAACUUCUUGAAAAGCAAAGACACCAUUUGCAAAGAAAAGGAAGAAGAUCGGGUUUUGUCCAAGGAAUUCAAUGCUUGGUUCUCAAUUGUGAUUCAUGACACCUAUGUUUUAUUUUCUUGGCUGUGGCUAGGACUCAACUGAUGACUUGAACGUGUUACAUCAAGCCUUAAUUUACCUGGCUAUAAAAUGGGUAUAGUCAGAAGUGAGCCCCACUUACCUGUUUGUGAUGCUGCAUAAAU